GAGACCUCAGGUCAGGCGGGGCUACCCGCUGAGGUUAAGCAUAUCAAUAAGCGGAGGA
RNAcentral lists this ribosomal RNA (58 nucleotides) under Vigna unguiculata (cowpea). RNAcentral describes it as "partial large subunit ribosomal RNA". Lineage: Eukaryota; Viridiplantae; Streptophyta; Magnoliopsida; Fabales; Fabaceae. The record is from RNAcentral.